GACAGAGGUCCCAAGCGUUGUUCGGAUUCACUGGGCGUAAAGGGUGCGUAGGCGGUUGGGUAAGUCCGACGUGAAAUCCCGGGGCUUAACCACGGAAUUGCAUUGGAAACUAUCCAGCUCGAGGGUUGGAGAGGGGACUGGAAUUCUCGGUGUAGCAGUGAAAUGCGUAGAUAUCGAGAAGAACACCGGUGGCGAAGGCGAGUCCCUGGACAACUCCUGACGCUGAGGCUCGAAAGCUAGGGGAGCAAACAGG
RNAcentral lists this ribosomal RNA (253 nucleotides) under uncultured bacterium. Its description in RNAcentral is "partial 16S ribosomal RNA". It matches the Rfam family "Bacterial small subunit ribosomal RNA", at positions 524 to 776 of the family's 1533-position model. The record is from RNAcentral.